RNA transcript from Neomonachus schauinslandi (Hawaiian monk seal), 833 nucleotides. It is a transcript of the gene named 40S ribosomal protein S7-like, with no coding region annotated. The transcript has a single exon. NCBI's taxonomy places the organism in Eukaryota, Metazoa, Chordata, Mammalia, Carnivora, Phocidae. The record is from RefSeq and is a predicted model, not a curated record.
AUGUUCAGUUCCAGCAUGAUCAUGAGGCCCAAUGGCAAGAAGCUGGAUGAGCUGGAGUCCAGGCCCUCCUUGAGUUGGAGAGGAACUCGGGCCUCCGAGCCCAGCUAUGGGAGAUAAAUACAACAGCAGCCAAGGAAACUGAAGUUGGCGGUGGUUGGAAGGUUCUUACCAUCUUUGUUGCCAUUCCUCAACUGAAAUCUUUCCAGAACAUCCAAGUCCGGCUAGUCUUUGAAUUGGAGAAAAAGUUCACUGGGAAGCAUGUUGUCUUUAAGGCUCAGAGGAGAAUUCUGCCUCAGCCAACUUGAAAAAAGCCAUACAAAAAACGAGCAAAAGUGUCCCAGGAUCUGCGCUUGGACAGCCGCGCGUGAUGCAGUCCUGGAGGACUUGGUUUUCCCAAGCAAAAUUGUAGGCAAGAGGAUCCACGUGAAGCUGGAUGGCAGUCUGCUCACAAAGGUUCGUUUGGAUAAAGCACAGCAGAGCGACAUAGAGCACAAGGUUGAAACUUUCUGUGUUAUCUGUAAGAAGCUCACCAGCAAGGAUGUUAACUUUGAGUUCCAGAGUUUCCGUUGUAAACAUAAAUGAUGGGGGGUGGGGGGAAGCUCGUAGGUGUCCCUCCUGUUUACCUGAGGCAAAUAUGGUUUUCCGUAUCUCUGGAAUAUAUAAUCAUUCCCCAUCAGAUCUUAACACAGUUCACACCAUAGAAUGAGUCUCAGAUUCUAUAGUGACCUUGAGGAAGUCAUGCAAUCUACCUUGACCUUCUUAUCCCAAGUGUAAAGGGAUUUUCUCUAGAAUUCCCACCUCUAUCCCCCAUAAGAAAGAAUUUCUGCUUUUUA